Molecule: ribosomal RNA, 406 nt
Filed under: uncultured bacterium
Lineage: Bacteria
Description: partial 16S ribosomal RNA
Rfam family: Bacterial small subunit ribosomal RNA
Source: RNAcentral
GACGAACGCUGGCGGCGUGCUUAACACAUGCAAGUCGAACGAGUGGCGAACGGGUGAGUAACGCGUAAUCAACUGCCUAUUAGAGGGGGAUAACUAUUGGAAACGAUAGCUAAUACCGCAUACUAGUAGAUGGACCUGCGUUGUAUUAGCUAGUAGGUAGGGUAAUGGCCUACCUAGGCGAAGAUACAUAGCCGACCUGAGAGGGUGGUCGGCCAAACAGGGACUGAGACACGGCCCAGACUCCUACGGGAGGCAGCAGUAGGGAAUCUUCGGCAAUGGGGGGAACCCUGACCAAGCAACGCCGCGUGAGUGAAGAAGGGUUUCGGAUCGGAAAACUCUGUUGUUAAGGAAGCGGUACUUAACCAGAAAGGGACGGCUAACUACGUGCCAGCCGCCGCGGUAAUUC